GAUGGGAGUCAUAUCCCCAUCAUUGCUCCAGAGGAGAACCAUGCAGACUAUUUUAACCGCAAAGGUUGGCACUCGGUGGUCCUGCAGGCUGUCGUGGACCAUCGGUUUUGUUUCACAAACAUUUAUGCUGGAUGGCCAGGAAGCGUCCAUGAUGCCAGGGUUCUCAGGAAUUCUCACGUCUACACAUUGGCAGAGAGAGGAGAACUUUUUCCACCGGAUACUGAAGAGAUAAUGGGUGUUCCGGUGCCAAUCAUGCUUCUUGGUGAUCCUGCUUAUCCCCUCCGAAGCUGGCUGUUAAAAGGAUGUUCAGAGACAGGAACACUGACAGCUGAACAGAGGUACUUCAAUGAGCGCCACAGCAGAGCCAGGAUGACUGUGGAGUGUGCAUUUGGCCGGCUUAAGGGCCGGUGGCGGUGUCUUGGUAAACGCCUAGAUGUGAACAUUGCCAUCGUCCCCACCAUCAUAAAUGCAUGUUGCACACUCCACAAUGUGUGUGAAAUGCAUGGUGAGGUCUAUGAAGAAGCAGGUGGAGCUGUUCCUGGUGUUGAGAGAAUGACUGAAGGAGGGGCCGUGGCAGAUGUGCAGCCGACAAGAGUCAGAGAAGCACUUACUC
This is a long non-coding RNA of Thalassophryne amazonica, 613 nucleotides long. RefSeq lists it as uncharacterized. The transcript has 3 exons. NCBI's taxonomy places the organism in Eukaryota, Metazoa, Chordata, Actinopteri, Batrachoidiformes, Batrachoididae. The record is from RefSeq and is a predicted model, not a curated record.